Manis pentadactyla (Chinese pangolin) is the source of this 596-nucleotide long non-coding RNA. RefSeq lists it as uncharacterized. NCBI's taxonomy places the organism in Eukaryota, Metazoa, Chordata, Mammalia, Pholidota, Manidae. The record is from RefSeq and is a predicted model, not a curated record. The transcript has 4 exons.
GAGUUAAUAGCUUGGAAACAGAUCUUGUUCUUUUUGUGGGAAGAAUGACCAGAAGCAUAAAAGCUAAAUCUUCCAGCAAAAGCAACACACCUCUUUCAGUGUUUGCAAUAAACCGAACAGAGCAAAUUGCUGGCUGUAACGUACUGUGCCAUGGCACCUAAAAUGAAGGGGAUGGUAAUGACUGAAAGGCUGCCACCGAGAGCUUCUGUCUGCCUUUAACUCAUUGUGAUAACCUGUGUAAAAGUGGUCACAUAGGUCUCUGCCUGGUUAAAAGCACAGAGCUGCAUCCUUGAUUGAUCCAGUUUGUUUUUACCCCUGUGAGAAGAAGGUUAGGUACUGAAGUUUAGAAAUGCAGUCAACUGAUUUAAAAUGUUUGAAGUCACAGACCUCCCCAGCCCCUGAGAACCACCAUUCUGGUCUCUGUUGUUGAAAGAUUCUAUGUAUUUCAAUAAUAUGCUUCUGUUGUUUCACAUCUUCACUGAGGAUUGGUACUAACAAUAAUUUUCAUUCCAUCAAAAAUGGUUUCCAAUGACCAUGACCAUCAUGUAAACAAUAAGGCACAUGGCUUGACCGGCGACCUCCAUGCAGUCCCACAU